Aquila chrysaetos chrysaetos is the source of this 587-nucleotide long non-coding RNA. RefSeq lists it as uncharacterized. The transcript has 2 exons. The record is from RefSeq and is a predicted model, not a curated record. NCBI's taxonomy places the organism in Eukaryota, Metazoa, Chordata, Aves, Accipitriformes, Accipitridae.
GGCAGCCGCUGUCCGGGAACGGAGAGGGGAGCGGAGGCCGGGGGGGGGGGGGGGGGGUGGCGGCCGGGCAGCGCGGCGAGAGCGGGCGCCCCCCAGCCGUGCCCGCGUCCCGGUGCUGCAUGGCGCUGCUCAGCCUGCCUUGCAGAGGGAGCUCGAGUCCCGCUCUGCGCCUCGCAGCGCCUCUCACUCCGCAGCACACGCCAGCGCAGCGAGGCGGCGGCCGGCAGGAGCGGGACACGCAGCCGCCGCCGCCGCCACCGCCCUGCGGUCAGGAGCCGGCCGGACACCCGAGGGAGGCCACGGGCAGCGGGCGGAGGGAACCGGGGCGAGCCCCGCAGAGUUCCAAGAGCAGAGUCAUUUUGUCCUGACCUGCAGCUCCCUGCCUGCCCUGACAGAAGGCUGCUUUCCUGCUCUGAUCUCUCUACAGCCAAGGUGUAGCUUAUCUUGGAAGGUGGUAUUGUGCUGCAGGGAUGGGGCUAGGUUUCGGCAGGGUAAGGAGAACACCCACAUAGUUGAGUGAAUUGAAUUCGUGGCUUUGGCCACUGGGGCACUGGGCUGGUUUUACUUCCAGGAUUUAUUCAGGGGGG